This 716-nucleotide ribosomal RNA is filed under the name uncultured Pleosporales. RNAcentral's name for it is "eukaryotic LSU rRNA". The stretch from base 279 to 429 matches the Rfam family "5.8S ribosomal RNA". Lineage: Eukaryota; Fungi; Ascomycota; Dothideomycetes; Pleosporales. The record is from RNAcentral.
UCCGUAGGUGAACCUGCGGAAGGAUCAUUAAAUAAUUGAAAAACAUGUUUUUUUUGGCUGAGAAAUUGGUCAUUUUUAUCAUGCUCUUAUCUUUUUGGUAAGAGAAAAAAAAAUAAUUUACUGUGAACUUUUUAAAGGGGUUUGGCCUAAAAAAAUGUCUGGUUGGGCGAGCGAGAUUGUAAUGAUCUUUUGUUCCCCCGGCUAGGCGAAAUAUUAUACCUAGUUAAUUUUAGUAAUAAAAAAUUGAAACAAUCAGUCGUAAAAAAACUGAUUAAAACAACUUUUAACAACGGAUCUCUAGGCUCUCGCAUCGAUGAAGAACGUAGCAAAUUGCGAUAACUAUUGUGAAUUGCAUCUCGUGAAUCAUCAAGUUUUUGAACGCAUCUUGCACUCUUUGGUAUUCCAAAGAGUACACUUGUUUCAGUAUCAUAUUAACCCCCAACGCCGUAUGAUUUGUAAUGAAUCAUUCUGGGCGGAAAUGUAUUAUAUCCUUGGCCGGUUGAAAGUGUUUAGUCACUUGAAACGGCUUAAAUCUAUCUAGGCGAAUGACUCUAAUGUUAUUCAUGCCAUGUAAAAUAAAUAUUAAUUAUGUGUUUAAUUAUUUUACGCUGACAUGAGUAGCUGCUAAGGAGGAAUUCUGGCCGACAAACACAUUAUUUUGAUCUGAAAUCAAGUGGGAUUACCCGCUGAACUUAAGCAUAUCAAUAAGCGGAGGA